ACUCUUCAACCCACCGGUUCCUUGUUGAACCGGCUGGUGUUUGGAUUCUGAGUGUUGCUGGUCUAGCCUCUAGUGGGCCAAGGCGAAGCUCAUUCGUAAUACAUUAGCAACUCAAUUUCGAGUAUUCGGAUUGACUCGGCGUAAUAGACUAUUCGCUGAGGACACUACGCAAGUGGUGGCCGAAUUUCGAGGUAGAAGCUUCUAACUCAUCAUUUGAAGUCAAAACUUUUAAG
RNAcentral lists this unclassified non-coding RNA (233 nucleotides) under uncultured Microbotryomycetes. RNAcentral describes it as "sequence contains ITS2". Lineage: Eukaryota; Fungi; Basidiomycota; Microbotryomycetes. The record is from RNAcentral.